Molecule: ribosomal RNA, 496 nt
Filed under: uncultured bacterium
Lineage: Bacteria
Description: partial 16S ribosomal RNA
Rfam family: Bacterial small subunit ribosomal RNA
Source: RNAcentral
GAUGAACGCUGGCGGCGUGCCUAAUACAUGCAAGUCGAGCGAACAGACGAGGAGCUUGCUCCUCUGACGUUAGCGGCGGACGGGUGAGUAACACGUGGAUAACCUACCUAUAAGACUGGGAUAACUUCGGGAAACCGGAGCUAAUACCGGAUAAUAUAUUGAACCGCAUGGUUCAAUAGUGAAAGACGGUUUUGCUGUCACUUAUAGAUGGAUCCGCGCCGCAUUAGCUAGUUGGUAGGUAACGGCUUAACAAGGCAACGAUGCGUAGCCGACCUGAGAGGGUGAUCGGCCACACUGGAACUGAGACACGGUCCAGACUCCUACGGGAGGCAGCAGUAGGGAAUCUUCCGCAAUGGGCGAAAGCCUGACGGAGCAACGCCGCGUGAGUGAUGAAGGUCUUCGGAUCGUAAAACUCUGUUAUUAGGGAAGAACAAAUGUGUAAGUAACUAUGCACGUCUUGACGGUACCUAAUCAGAAAGCCACGGCUAACUACGUG